GUCUAGCCUGCUCACUGACAAAGAUGUUAAAUAGCCGCGGUAUUUUGACCGUGCAAAGGUAGCAUAAUCAUUAGUUUUUUAAUUGGAAACUUGUAUGAAUGGUUGGACAAAGAAAAAGCUGUCUCUUUUAUUAAAAUUGAAAUUAACUUCUAAGUGAAAAGGCUUAGAUUUUCUAGAGGGACGAUAAGACCCUAUAAAGCUUUAUAAAUUAAGUAAGUUAGAACAAAUUUUAUAGAAUAAAGGUAAAUUUAAUAUAUUUAUUUGGUUGGGGCGACAAUGGUAUAAAUUAAAUAACUGCUAUUAAAAUUAAACAAUUAUAUUUGAUUAAAAUUAUAAUUGAUCCUUAUUAUGGAUUAAAAGAUCAAGUUACUUUAGGGAUAACAGCGUAAUUUCUUUUAAGAGUUCUUAUCAAAGAAGAAGUUUGCGACCUCGAUGUUGAAUUAAAAUGUCUUUAUAGUGCAGAAGCUAUAAAAGAAGGUCUGUUCGACCUUUAAUUUUUUACAUGAUUUGAGU
RNAcentral lists this ribosomal RNA (513 nucleotides) under Scylla tranquebarica (purple mud crab). RNAcentral describes it as "partial 16S ribosomal RNA". It matches the Rfam family "Bacterial large subunit ribosomal RNA", at positions 1852 to 2610 of the family's 2925-position model. The record is from RNAcentral. Lineage: Eukaryota; Metazoa; Arthropoda; Malacostraca; Decapoda; Portunidae.